CCCUUAGAUGUUCUGGGCCGCACGCGCGCUACACUGAUGCAUUCAACGAGUUUCUUCCUGGUCCGAGAGGAAUGGGUAACCUUUUGAAAGUGCAUCGUGAUAGGGAUAGACUAUUGCAAUUAUUGGUCUUCAACGAGGAAUUCCUAGUAGACGUAGUUCAUCAGACUGCAUCGAUUACGUCCCUGCCCUUUGUACACACCGCCCGUCGCUCCUACCGAUUGAAUGCUCAGGUGAGCCAUUCGGCCUUUCAUCAUGCUGGUUUCCAGUUUUGAUGAAGGAAAGUCUUGCGAACCUUAUCAUUUAGAGGAAGGAGAAGUCGUAACA
Molecule: ribosomal RNA, 324 nt
Filed under: uncultured eukaryote
Lineage: Eukaryota
Description: partial 18S ribosomal RNA
Rfam family: Eukaryotic small subunit ribosomal RNA
Source: RNAcentral